GUGCCCUCUUAUUCUUCAUGUGAGAAAUAUUUUUAUAUAAUUUUUUUAUACCUAGAAGACUUUUUCAUAUCCUUAUCUGAUUCUUUUUGAAUUAAAAAUUUGUUGAUUUAAAUUUGGGUUCAAAUGGGUUUGAAUUUGAAUGAAAACCUAGAGUCUAAAUUGAGUUGGACUUUCCUCUUCAUGCCACCACCUUUCUCCACACAUAAAAUAUUUUUGCAUAAGAUUCUUUUGCAUCAUUUUGAUGUUGGUCGA
Molecule: long non-coding RNA, 252 nt
Filed under: Elaeis guineensis (African oil palm)
Lineage: Eukaryota; Viridiplantae; Streptophyta; Magnoliopsida; Arecales; Arecaceae
Description: long non-coding RNA (EGUI_LNC069553)
Source: RNAcentral